This 1724-nucleotide long non-coding RNA is filed under the name Zostera marina. RNAcentral describes it as "long non-coding RNA (ZMAR_LNC005216)". The record is from RNAcentral. Lineage: Eukaryota; Viridiplantae; Streptophyta; Magnoliopsida; Alismatales; Zosteraceae.
AAGAUAUAGAAAAUGUUUACUUUCUGUUGAAUUUAAAAUGUUAAUGUGUGAAUGUUUUAAUUUAAUAUUGUUUGAAUGUUAUUGUGUGAUUCUCCUCUUUCCUUCUUUACGAUUACGUGAUCGAUCAUCCCACCUCACAUGGUAUCAGAGCUUUUGAAGCUGAUCGACGGGUGAUAGUGAGGAUAAGGCUCUGGUAGUUUUGUUUGCGAAAUUCUCUCAUUCUCGUGCGAUAGUGAGGAUAAAAUAUAAAGAUUUGUUUUCCCAUGAGAUGAGGUAGCCUGUCAGUUGGUCAUUCAGUUCAGAGCAGUCACCAUACCUAGCUCAUAAUAAGCGCAACAUAGUCGUUGGACCCCCCUUGGAAGUGUUGGAUCGAGAUCCGAGGCUAUAAGAGGGGAUAAUAGCCUCUUUUCGAUUAAUGCAAGUUAAUAGCGGAAUUACCUGCACACACUUAAGUACACAAAUGGUUGUAUAAUAAUAAUAGUAUAAUAUUUUUAGCAAUAUAAUACUAUUAUAUAAUUUUAAAGAAUAUAAUAUUAUAUCUUAUAAUAUUAUAUAUUGGACUUGCCUUUUUUGCUCUUUAAGUUUACUACAGUAUAUGAAUACGUAGUCAACUUUUCAGAUGGUGUUUUAUAAACAACUAUAGUAUAUGAAUACUAAGUUAUAUUAUAAACACAAGUUAUAUUAUAGAGUAAAUGACCAGAUAACUAGAUAUAUUGAUAAGCAAGUAAAUGACCAGAUAACUGGAUAUAUUGAUAAACAAGUAGAUGACCAGAUAACUGGAUAUAUAUGAUAAGUAAAUGCUUGAACACAUAUGAAUAAAGCAAUGAAUAUAACCUCAGAUGGUUGACCAGAUAACUGGAUGAGGGAUCUACGUAAAGUAGUCAACCUCUGUAUUUGACCAGAUAACUGGAAGAGGGAUCUUUUUAAUUAAGUGUUGUUUUUAGAUAAAAGAUAAAACUAUAAUUAACAGAGAACAACACAAGAGAUUUAUACUGGUUCACCCAAACAAGGGCUAGUCCAGUCCCGACCAACUGCCGGAAUUCACUCGCCUAAAGGUAAUGGCAAAACCUUAGAGUAUCAAGGAAACUCUUAAGAACCUCUCUAAGCUUUAAGGCUACUUCGCUUAGGAACCAGUCUUUUACGGGUAGACUCACACCUUAGAGUAUCAAGGGCACUCUUAAGAACCUCUAACUUUUACGGGUAAGUUAGUACCUUAAAGUAUCAAGGAACUCUUAAAAACCUCUCUAAGCUUUAAGGCUACUUCGCUUAGGAACCAGUCUUUUACGGGUAGACUCACACCUUAGAGUAUCAAGGGCACUCUUAAGAACCUCUAACUUUUACGGGUAAGUUAGUACCUUAGAGUAUCAAGGAACUCUUAAAAACCUCUGAAAUCUUUAAAGGUAGACUCAACCUAAGAGUUUUCCCGGAAACUCUAUAAAACCAAACUAGAGCUUUAUGGUUGAGCUCACAAACCUUCUCUCACACUUUGGUACUAUUGAGACAACCCUCUCAACCAAAGUGGAGACACACAAGAGGUGAUUAGAGGAGUGGAAUAUUAAAGCAAACAACACUUCUUACUUGUAAAGAUGAACAAGAAGAUUAGAAGAAGAAGUUGGAGAGCUUUUGAAGCUUUGGAAAGCUAUGACACUUGAGCACUUGAAAGCUUGGAAGCUUGGAGGCAAAAACGUGUGGGCAAGUGUGGAGUGAAAGCUCUUGAGUUUGCU